This is a non-coding RNA of Pimephales promelas (fathead minnow), 800 nucleotides long. The record is from RefSeq and is a predicted model, not a curated record. Lineage: Eukaryota; Metazoa; Chordata; Actinopteri; Cypriniformes; Leuciscidae.
UAAAUGCUUUUGAAAUUCCCUACAGUCAGAAGAUUCCAGACAUGCCUUCAGAUGUAGUCGGAGCAUUAAUGUUUCUGGAGGACUAUGUGCGUUACACUAAACUGCCCAGAAAGGUGGCAGAGGCUCAUGUGCCGAGUUUCAUUUUCGAUGAAUUCAGGACUGUGCUGUAAACAUGCCUGUCAUAAUGUCAAAUCAUAUUCGAUAUCAUUCAUCUAUCUCUUAAAGCACUAAUGAAAUUGAGCAAUUAGCAUUUUUAACAUUUCAAUUUUUAAACAUGGUGAUCUUUUGUAGCUGACUGGAUGUCUGUCUGCUGGUGUAAUAAAUGUCAUAUGUGUGUUUUGAUACAACUUUUUAGCACACUUUCGAAGAAUGAAUCACUUUAACUCACAACCUCUGAUGAUUUAUUGCUUUUAUAAAAUGAUGGCAACAUCAACCUCAUAUGAUUUUCCUUUUUUGCGGAUAUCGUUGGUUUAACUCAUCCUAUCAGAAUUUAGACUGUGAAUUAUUAUUUCGAGGUACUAAAACUUAAGGGGUGUUACACUGUACCUUUUUUUUGUACACAACACAGGAGACAGGAUUUGAAUGAAAGUUUAACUUUUAUCUUAAAUAUAUUACAAUACUGAAUGGAUACUGUAUGAAAAAAAGAGCUUUUAUCGUUUUAAUUAUCAGUCUAUGUACAGCACACAAUGAAAGAAAAUUAUAGCCAUGAAGAAUCUAUGAAUACCAACACUGCGUACACGGUCAGAUGAACAGAAGUGAAACAACAGGGUGUGACAGCGGCUGACUUGAUAAAGACCUUA